GGCCUGAUGGUCUAGUAGUAUGAUUCCUUGUUAGGGUUCUCAGUGAGUUCCAUCGAGGAGGUCCCGGGUUCAAUUCCCGGUCAGGCCC
Paramarasmius palmivorus is the source of this 88-nucleotide non-coding RNA. NCBI's taxonomy places the organism in Eukaryota, Fungi, Basidiomycota, Agaricomycetes, Agaricales, Marasmiaceae. The record is from the annotation of a GenBank genome assembly.